AUCUGAACCAAUCAGAACCCAUCUGAGGUUCUGCUCCCCCCGUCAGGUCACAUUAUUUCAACAUCUAAAGCUCCGUAAAAACGACGGAAAUACCCGAAUAAAGUCGAUCCGUGAUUUCAGAGUAGGUCUCCUCCCGGUACAACUGGUCACAGAGUCAUCGUUAACCUGACAUCUCCAUCCCUUCACCGAGGCGGUUCUGGUUCUGAUGGUUCCUCCUCCGGUCUCAGUCCAACAAAAAGUCCAAAUGUGCAAAAUUUCUUUAUUCCCAAAUAAAUGUCAUAAUGUGAACAUACA
Long non-coding RNA from Xiphophorus couchianus (Monterrey platyfish), 294 nucleotides. RefSeq lists it as uncharacterized. NCBI's taxonomy places the organism in Eukaryota, Metazoa, Chordata, Actinopteri, Cyprinodontiformes, Poeciliidae. The record is from RefSeq and is a predicted model, not a curated record. The transcript has 2 exons.